AUCAUUGAGUCAGGCUGGGGUGGGUGGAGUGGCAACCAAACACGCACCAAACGUUCGCUCGCUGGAGGCCGGAAAAAAAGGCGAUCAGUUCCGCUUCUCCACGACCAUCGGUCGCCGCAGCCAUAGCCGUUCACCACCGCCGCCGCCGCCGCCGCCGCCUCUACUCUACUCCCAUAAAACAAAAGCGUCCCCAGAAGCCAAACCUUUCGCUUCGACCCGCGGCGCCCUAGAAAAGCCGAACCCAACCCUAACCCUAGCCCGAGGGCUCCUCGCCGGUGUCGGCGAUGGAGAUUACUGAGUCGGAGCCGGCACCGGAGCUUCCCGCGGAGGAGGAGAUGGCGCUCAUCCGAGAUAUCACCGCCGCCGCGGAGGCCCACGCCAAGGAGGGUGACAUCUUCUUCCUCAUCACAAACAGGUGGUGGCAAAGUUGGAUUGACUAUGUUAUUCAUGAUUUGGCUGGUGUACCAAGUAAUGGUUCUCAUCAUCAUGAGUUCGGUUCAAAUACUCCUAGAAGGCCAGGAGCUAUUGACAAUACAAAUUUGUUGGAUGACAUGGCAUCUGAAGUCUCCGACAUACAGAUUGAGCUACAUGAUACUUUGGUUGAAGGCCGUGAUUAUAUAUUGCUCCCUCAGCAAGUCUGGGAAAAACUGCAUAGUUGGUAUGGUGGAGGGCCAACACUACCAAGAAAGGCAAUCAAUACUGGCUUGUCUCAAACUGAUCUAGCCAUAGAAGUUUAUCCUCUACGUCUGCAGUUACUUCUGAUGCCGAAAGGAGAGCAAGCUGUAGUAAGGAUAAGCAAGAGGGUUACAGUUGAUGAGCUCCGUAAGAAGGCGUGUGAGGUUUUUGAUUUGGUACCAGAUGAGGUGUGCAUCUGGGACUACUAUGGUCGAACAAAGCAUGCUUUGAUGGAUAACUUGGAGAAAACUCUUGAUGAUGCCAACAUUCAAAUGGAUCAAGAUAUUCUCGUUGAAGUCACCACUGAUGCAAAUGGUAGUUUGGAUGGUGCGUGCAUGAGUUCAAUCCAAGAAGAUUAUUUUGGAAGCACAUCAACUUAUUUGAUGACAAAUGCUUCAAAAUCAGGAUGCUUGAAUGAGAAUUUAGCAUCACUCUGUUAUGGUUCCAGAAGCUACAGCUCGAGUCUCAUGCAAAGCCAGUACCUGCGCUCUUCCAGUGGUGACUUGGAUAAUGUUCCUGGUACUGUUGGUAUGACCACCAGGGGAUCUCCGUCAGGUCUUACUGGGCUACUUAACUUGGGAAACACAUGUUUCAUGAACAGUGCUGUACAAUGUCUUGUGCACACACCAGAGUUUGCUAGAUAUUUUCGUGAAGAUUACCACUGUGAAAUUAAUUGGCACAAUCCUCUGGGUAUGGUGGGUGAACUUGCAUUAGCUUUUGGAGAGCUACUGAGAAAACUUUGGGCUCCUAGCCGUACGCCAGUGUCUCCACGACCAUUCAAAACAAAGUUGUCUCGGUUUGCACCUCAGUUCAGUGGAUACAACCAACACGAUUCACAGGAGCUGUUGGCAUUCCUCCUGGAUGGACUGCAUGAAGACUUGAACCGUGUGAAACAUAGACCUUACUUAAAAUCCAAAGAUGCUGAGGGACGAUCAGAUGAAGAGGUUGCUGAUGAGUAUUGGGCAAAUCACAUUGCCAGAAACGAUUCUAUCAUUGUUGAUGUAUGCCAGGGGCAGUACAAGUCAACUUUGGUCUGUCCAGUAUGUGGAAAGGUUUCAGUGACAUUUGACCCAUUCAUGUAUCUUUCCUUACCUCUACAAUUUGCUUCAACACGGAGCAUGACUGUUGUCGUUUUCACUUGUGAUGGGAGUGCUCCACCAAUACCAUACACUGUAAGUGUACCCAAGCAAGGUAGGUGCAGGGACCUUAUCCAAGCACUCAGCAACGCAUGCUCGCUUAGGAAUGAAGAGAGACUUCUAAUCGCCGAGAUACGUAGUCAUAGGAUCCAUCUUAUUCUCGAGGAUCCAGUGCUCCAGCUUUCUACAAUUAAAGAUGAUGAUCACCUGGCAGUUUAUAGGCUUCCAAGAUUGGAAAAAAGGGCAAGUUAUGUUCAAUUUGUUCAUCGCCGUGAAGACUUGGACCUUGGAAACAAUAGCAGCUCAACCUCUUGGAAGCCAUAUGGUGUUCCUCUUCUUGCACAAAUAUCUCGCAAUGAAACUGUCACCGGUUCUGAUAUCCAUGAGAUGGCCCGUAAAAUGCUUGUGCCCAUGUUCAGAAAUCAUGUGGCACAACAUUCGGCAGUUCAAAGUUCUCUUUCCACAAGAACACAAAGCUAUCACACCGACAGCAGCAAAUUUCAGCUACAGUUGAUUGAUGAUAGCAACACAGUGAUUGAGCAAACUGAUUAUGCUAUCAGGGUUCCGCAGUCUUCGGUUGCAACUGUUAUUUUUGUCAACUGGUCCAAGUUAGAUCUUAAAAAGUUGAACACUAACCAUUUGGAGCACCUUCCAGAGGUGUUUAAGUAUGCUCCUCCCGCCAAGAGAACCCGUGGUGAACCUCUCUCACUCUAUGCAUGCUUGGAUGCUUUCUUGAGAGAAGAACCACUUGUUCCUGAAGAAAUGUGCUCUUGGAUGAGAACAGGUGGUACAAUUUUGAUGAUAGCCAUGUUUCUGCCAUCAAUGAGGAAGAAGUGAAGUCAGGUGCAGCUUACGUGCUGUUCUACAGAAGAGUUGGAGAAGCAGAUGGAGCAGCAAGCAAUGGAACCCAGUCAUGUGUGAAACGAAGCCGCAGAUCUAGCCAAAGAUAAUCUGAGUUGUUGCAUAGCUUCGCAAGUUUAGAAGAACCCUUUUGGGUCCUUUUUUGUGUGUGGAAUUGCAAGGUUUCGGUGUGAGACCAUAGGAUAUUGCGGCUAUACAGCUUGGACGGAAAAGGUGCGAGGAAUACCAUUAGAAGUUGGCUGUAUCAAUACAGAUGGGGAAUGAUGAGAACAUAGGGAAUGGUUAACUAGGUGGAUAUUGCUGCGGCUAUAUAGCUUGGACAGAGCGUAGGUUUGCUUGCCAUUUUCAUCUUUCUAGUUCUGCCUAGAAGAGAAAUAAAAGGGGUCCAUUAGGUUACACCGUUUUGUUUAAGUUGAUUGGAGUUUUGUACUCCCUCCGUUCCUAAAUACAAGUCUUUCAAGAGAUUCCUAUAAGUCUUUCAAGAGAUUCCAAUACAGACUACAUACGGAGCAAAAUGACUGAAUGUAUGUAGUCAUUUAUUGAAAUAUCUAAAGAGACUUAUACUCCCUCUGUAAAAAUAUAUAAGAGUGUUUAGAUCACUAUUUUAGUGAUCUAAACGCUCUUAUAUUUGUUUACGGAGGGAGUAUUUAGGAACGGAGGGAGUAUUUCAUAGUUAUAUGCACGUAGCUAGCGUACACCUUACUGGUUUUAUGAUCAAUGCUAUGCCACCGGACAUUGUUUUACCUGUGUCAUGCUAGUUUGAGGUGGCUAUCUAUACAGACUUUUUUUUGAUCUGUCUGGAAUCGUGAAUUUGCCAUGGAGAAGUCGAUGCAUUACUCUUAUCUUUUUUCUUUUACUCUUGACUUAUUAUUAUCUAGUCC
RNAcentral lists this ribosomal RNA (3553 nucleotides) under Triticum aestivum (bread wheat). RNAcentral's name for it is "partial small subunit ribosomal RNA". The stretch from base 3233 to 3319 matches the Rfam family "MIR1120/MIR1122 microRNA precursor family". The record is from RNAcentral. Lineage: Eukaryota; Viridiplantae; Streptophyta; Magnoliopsida; Poales; Poaceae.